Molecule: ribosomal RNA, 450 nt
Filed under: uncultured bacterium
Lineage: Bacteria
Description: partial 16S ribosomal RNA
Rfam family: Bacterial small subunit ribosomal RNA
Source: RNAcentral
GUGGGGAAUCUUCCGCAAUGGACGAAAGUCUGACGGAGCAACGCCGCGUGAGUGAAGAAGGUUUUCGGAUCGUAAAGCUCUUUCGUUAGGGACGAACGUGCUCUUUGUGAAUAAUGAGGAGUAAUGACGGUACCUAAAUAAGAAGCCACGGCUAACUACGUGCCAGCAGCCGCGGGAAUACGUAGGUGGCAAGCGUUGUCCGGAAUUAUUGGGCGUAAAGCGCGCGCAGGCGGGAUAUCAAGUCUGUCUGAAAAGUGGGAGGCUCAACCUCGUGAGGGGACAGAAACUGGUAUUCUUGAGUGUCGGAGAGGAAAGUGGAAUUCCAAGUGUAGCGGUGAAAUGCGUAGAGAUUUGGAAGAACACCAGUGGCGAAGGCGACUUUCUGGACGAUGUCUGACGCUGAGGCGCGAAAGCUAGGGGAGCGAACGGGAUUAGAUACCCCUGUAGUCC